UACGUAGGGUGCGAGCGUUAAUCGGAAUUACUGGGCGUAAAGGGCUCGUAGGUGGCCAACUAAGUCGGACGUGAAAUCCCUCGGCUUAACCGGGGAACUGCAUCCGAUACUGGAUGGCUUGAGUUCGGGAGAGGGAUGCGGAAUUCCAGGUGUAGCGGUGAAAUGCGUAGAUAUCUGGAGGAACACCGGUGGCGAAGGCGGCAUCCUGGACCGGCAUUGACGCUGAGGCGCGAAAGCCAGGGGAGCAAACGGG
This 253-nucleotide ribosomal RNA is filed under the name uncultured bacterium. Its description in RNAcentral is "partial 16S ribosomal RNA". It matches the Rfam family "Bacterial small subunit ribosomal RNA", at positions 524 to 776 of the family's 1533-position model. The record is from RNAcentral.